CUAUCUGCAGUCGAGCGAGACCGGAGCUUCGGCUCCGGGGACAGCGGCGAACGGGUGAGUAACACGUGGGUAACCUGCCCUCGGCACCGGGAUAGCCCGGGGAAACCCGGAUUAAUACCGGACGGCCCUUCCGCCCUUCUGGGCGGUCGGAAAAGGUAGCUUCGGCCUCCGGCCGAGGAUGGGCCCGCGGCGGAUUAGCUUGUUGGUGAGGUAACGGCUCACCAAGGCUCCGAUCCGUAGCUGGUCUGAGAGGACGAUCAGCCACACUGGGACUGAGACACGGCCCAGACUCCUACGGGAGGCAGCAGUAGGGAAUCUUGCGCAAUGGGCGAAAGCCUGACGCAGCGACGCCGCGUGCGGGAAGACGGCCUUCGGGUUGUAAACCGCUUUCAGGAGGGACGAAGCCACUCGGGUGAAUAGCCCAGAGGGUGACGGUACCUCCAGAAGAAGCCCCGGCUAACUACGUGCCAGCAGCCGCGGUAAUACGUAGGGGGCAAGCGUUGUCCGGAUUUAUUGGGCGUAAAGCGCGUGUAGGCGGCCAGGUAGGUCGGUUGUGAAAAUUGGAGGCUCAACUUCCAGACGUCGAUCGAAACCAUCUGGCUAGAGUCCGGAAGAGGAGAAUGGAAUUCCUGGUGUAGCGGUGAAAUGCGCAGAUAUCAGGAAGAACACCGAUGGCGAAGGCAGUUCUCUGGGACGGUACUGACGCUGAGACGCGAAAGCGUGGGGAGCGAACAGGAUUAGAUACCCUGGUAGUCCACGCCGUAAACGAUGGGUGCUAGGUGUGGGAGGUGUCGACUCCUCCCGUGCCGCAGCUAACGCAUUAAGCACCCCGCCUGGGGAGUACGGCCGC
This 850-nucleotide ribosomal RNA is filed under the name uncultured bacterium. RNAcentral's name for it is "bacterial SSU rRNA". It matches the Rfam family "Bacterial small subunit ribosomal RNA", at positions 51 to 889 of the family's 1533-position model. The record is from RNAcentral.